This 406-nucleotide ribosomal RNA is filed under the name uncultured bacterium. RNAcentral describes it as "partial 16S ribosomal RNA". It matches the Rfam family "Bacterial small subunit ribosomal RNA", at positions 30 to 526 of the family's 1533-position model. The record is from RNAcentral.
AUUGAACGCUGGCGGCAGGCCUAACACAUGCAAGUCGCACGAGUGGCGGACGGGUGAGUAAUGUCUGGGAAACUGCCCGAUGGAGGGGGAUAACUACUGGAAACGGUAGCUAAUACCGCAUACCCUCGGAUGUGCCCAGAUGGGAUUAGCUAGUAGGUGGGGUAACGGCUCACCUAGGCUACGAUCCCUAGCUGGUCUGAGAGGAUGAACAGCCAAACUUGAACGGUGACACGGUCCAGACUCCUCCGGUAGGCAGCAGUGGGGAAUAUUGCACAAUUGGCGCAAGCCUGAUGCAGCCAUGCCGCUUGUAUGAAGAAGGCCUUCGGGUUGUAAAGUACUUUCAGCGAGGAGGCGUUACUCGCAGAAGAAGCACCGGCUAACUCCGUGCCAGCAGCCGCGGUAAUUC